GGGACUUUAGUUUAGUUGGUAAAACAUUAGCUUUGCAAGCUAAAUAUCAGGAGUUCAAGUCUCCUAAGUUCCA
RNAcentral lists this transfer RNA (73 nucleotides) under Teleaulax amphioxeia. Its description in RNAcentral is "tRNA-Ala". It matches the Rfam family "tRNA". From Rfam's summary of the family: Transfer RNA (tRNA) molecules are approximately 80 nucleotides in length. Their secondary structure includes four short double-helical elements and three loops (D, anti-codon, and T loops). The record is from RNAcentral. Lineage: Eukaryota; Cryptophyceae; Pyrenomonadales; Geminigeraceae.